Molecule: ribosomal RNA, 496 nt
Filed under: uncultured bacterium
Lineage: Bacteria
Description: partial 16S ribosomal RNA
Rfam family: Bacterial small subunit ribosomal RNA
Source: RNAcentral
ACUCAAAGGAAUAGACGGGGGCCCGCACAAGCGGUGGAGUAUGUGGCUUAAUUCGAUGCAACGCGAAGAACCUUACCUGGCCUUGACAUGCACUAGACAGACGCUGAAAGGCGUUCUUCCUUCGGGACUGGUGCACAGGUGCUGCAUGGCUGUCGUCAGCUCGUGUCGUGAGAUGUUGCGUUAAGUCGCGCAACGAGCGCAACCCCUGUCCUUAGUUGCCAUCAUUAAGUUGGGCACUCUAGGGAGACAAACCCUCUUUGAGGGUGGGAAGGUGGGGAUGACGUCAAGUCAGGAUGGCCCUUACGGCCAGGGCUGCACACGUACUACAAUGCCCGGUACAGAGGGACGCAAUGCCGCGAGGCAAAGCAAAUCUCAAAAACCGGGCCCAGUUCAGAUUGUAGUCUGCAACUCGACUACAUGAAGUUGGAAUCGCUAGUAAUGGCGCAUCAGCUACGGCGCCGUGAAUACGUUCCCGGGCCUUGCACACACCGCCCGU